GCAAACUUGGUCAUUUAGAGGAAGUAAAAGUCGUAACAAGGUUUCCGUAGGUGAACCUGCGGAAGGAUCAUUAUCGAGUUUUGACUGGGCUGUAGCUGGCCUUACGAGGCAUGUGCACGCCCUGUUGAUCUGCUUUACACCUGUGCACUCACUGUGGGCUUCAUGAUUGCGGAGCGGACCUUUGCUGGUCCGCGAGGUGGUCUGGGCCUGCGUUUACUACAAACUCGAAAGUAUUAGAACGUGUAUUGCGAUGCGACGCAUCUUUAUACAACUUUCAGCAACGGAUCUCUUGGCUCUCGCAUCGAUGAAGAACGCAGC
RNAcentral lists this unclassified non-coding RNA (318 nucleotides) under uncultured fungus. RNAcentral's name for it is "partial contains small subunit ribosomal RNA, internal transcribed spacer 1, and 5.8S ribosomal RNA". The stretch from base 1 to 73 matches the Rfam family "Eukaryotic small subunit ribosomal RNA", at positions 1759 to 1831 of the family's 1831-position model. The record is from RNAcentral. Lineage: Eukaryota; Fungi.